Molecule: ribosomal RNA, 477 nt
Filed under: Massilia antarctica
Lineage: Bacteria; Pseudomonadati; Pseudomonadota; Betaproteobacteria; Burkholderiales; Oxalobacteraceae
Description: partial 23S ribosomal RNA
Rfam family: Bacterial large subunit ribosomal RNA
Source: RNAcentral
AGACCCGAAACCAAGUGAUCUACUCAUGGCCAGGAUGAAGGUGCGGUAACACGCCCUGGAGGUCCGAACCCACUAAUGUUGAAAAAUUAGGGGAUGAGCUGUGGGUAGGGGUGAAAGGCUAAACAAACUUGGAAAUAGCUGGUUCUCUCCGAAAACUAUUUAGGUAGUGCCUCAAGUAUCACCAUCGGGGGUAGAGCACUGUUAUGGCUAGGGGUUCAUUGCGAAUUACCAAACCAUUGCAAACUCCGAAUACCGAUGAGUGCGAGCUUGGGAGACAGACGUCGGGUGCUAACGUCCGGCGUCAAGAGGGAAACAACCCAGACCGCCAGCUAAGGUCCCAAAGAUUGGCUAAGUGGAAAACGAAGUGGGAAGGCUAAAACAGUCAGGAUGUUGGCUUAGAAGCAGCCAUCAUUUAAAGAAAGCGUAAUAGCUCACUGAUCGAGUCGUCCUGCGCGGAAGAUGUAACGGGGCUAAGCC